RNAcentral lists this long non-coding RNA (501 nucleotides) under Piliocolobus tephrosceles (Ugandan red Colobus). RNAcentral describes it as "lncRNA (ENSPTEG00000015455.1)". Lineage: Eukaryota; Metazoa; Chordata; Mammalia; Primates; Cercopithecidae. The record is from RNAcentral.
AUGACAGCCAGAGUAGUCUUAAAUGACCUUGUGCUGUGCACGAAGGUGGUAUGCAAUCAGAAGACGUCUGAGACAAGUAUGCAUCUCCCACCACAACAUUAUAUGAUGCUUGGAGUAAAAACAGUCAUCCCUGUUCCUACCUACAAUUGUAUUAUUCAAUCAAAAUUGCUGCCAGACAUGGUGGCUCAUACCUGUAGUCCCAGCACUUUGGGAGGCCGAGGCCGGGCAGAUCGCUUGAGACCAGGAUUUGAGACUAGCCUGGACAACAUGUUGGGGUCUGUUGCAGGUAAUUGGAUCAUGGGAGUGGAUCCUUCAUGAAUGGUUUAGCACCACCCCUUUGGUGCUGUCUCCUGAUAGUGUUCUCAUGAGGUCUUCCUCCUGCUGCCACCAUGUAAGACACACCAGCUUCCCCUCACUUUCCACCAUGAUUGUAAGUUGCCUGGGGCCUCCCUGGAAGAAGCCACUAUGCUUCCUGUAAAGCCUGCAUAACCAUGAGCCGAU